CCCUUAGACGUUCUGGGCCGCACGCGCGCUACACUGACCGGUGCAACAAGCAUCCGUCCUUGGCCGACAGGCCCGGGCAAUCUUUGAACGCCGGUCGUGGUGGGGAUAGACUUUUGCAAUUUUUGGUCUUCAACGAGGAAUUCCUAGUAAACGCAAGUCAUCAACUUGCAUUGAUUACGUCCCUGCCCUUUGUACACACCGCCCGUCGCACCUACCGAUUGAAUGGUCCGGUGAAGCCUCCGGAUUGGCGCGCACCUCGGUGCCGCCGAGAAGUUGGCUAAACCUUACCAUUUAGAGGAAGGUGAAGUCGUAACA
This 315-nucleotide ribosomal RNA is filed under the name uncultured eukaryote. Its description in RNAcentral is "partial 18S ribosomal RNA". It matches the Rfam family "Eukaryotic small subunit ribosomal RNA", at positions 1470 to 1796 of the family's 1831-position model. The record is from RNAcentral.